UUUACCAAUAUAUUUGCAAACGCUAUCCAACACUUGACAAAUAAAAGCCGAAAGUUUAGUUUCCGGACUUAGUACUACAAAAUCAUAGAUUGUCUUUAAUGGCUUGUAAUGUACCUAAGUAGUCUCAUCCUCACAAUCUUCCUAUUGAUUAAAUGUAUCAUUAGAAGAAUAUGUUAGAAAAGUCUAUCAUAAAGAGGACAACAAUUUUAAAUGUCAUAAUUCUUCAAUUACAAAUUGUUGUAUGAAGAAAUAGGAGUUGCUUUGAACAACCCUUAGCCAAUGCAAGCACUAGUGCUUGUUUCUUUGUUAAAUGAACAAAGAACUUGAGAAGAAAGCACAAAGGCAUGGACACUUAAUGUGCCAUGAUUCUUCACUUACAAAUUGUUGUAUGACGAAAUGAGAGUUGCCUUGUACAACUCUUGAAGGUUUGUAAUUAUGUUUAGAACAUAAUGGUUGGUUGACAAAAAUAGUCCAUUAACAUGGACUUAUGAUGAUUUUGAAUCAUUGAGUGUUGAAGUGAUAAACCACUUAACGAGACGGAAACUAGGCAAGGACUUCACCUUUGUUUCCCUACACUAAUGGUUCACUAAGUUUAUUGUAAACUAUGUAGUGAACAAUAACCACAUGCUCUCCAAAAUGUUUGAUGUGUACAAUACAAUUGAAAUAAGCUUCAAGAGAGAUAGUGGGAGUUUAGGGACCAUGACUAAUGUAGUCAAAGGAGAAGUCAAAUGAAGAAGAUUAAAUUAACUCCAAGGGAACAAACUUUCUUUAUGAAAGGAUGGACAUUGGAAGGGGUAUUUGCAAGAAAUGUCUUGCAAGUGUCAAGAACACACCUUUCGAAGGCGUUGUAAAUUGUUCUUGAAUAGUUCAAAACAGUUGGUUCUUCUACUUGAAUGCUUGAUUCCGUAUUAGUAACUAAGUUUUACAAUCGUUGUAAAAGUAUGGCUAAUAAGAAGUAGAAGAUAUAUGAGAGAAGAGAAAGUACUUCACAUUCGAAACGUGAAUCAAAUGUAGAUCUCUGCGAAAGCAGAUGGUACUUACUUCCUCAUAUGAACUACCAAAGAAAUUGGAAAAAAUGUAGAUUGUCUUUAUGUUCCAAUUUUAAGGAACUAAAUUCCGUCACUAUGUGAAAUGGAUAAAUGUUUUGUUUGACAAAACAUUGUUCUUUAUUAAUGAAUGAUUAGAUUAUUGUAAUCUAAUUAAUUAUCUCUAUAGUAGAGAUGAUAUGGUAGUGUUAACUGUUUAGAAUAUAAUGAUGCUUAAAACCCAAAAGGUUGCAAGGUAGUGACUAAUCCCAACUAAAGUUGUGAUACCUCUAAAACAUAAAUUACGAGUUGGUCAUAGAUGGACGCUUUGGAUCGUUAGAUCCGGAUCCAAUACCUUCUUGUUAAAAUUAUAUAGAGGCGAAAUGUUCGAAUCUUUAUUCUUUUGGAAAGAAGAAAGAAUCACAAAGUUGUUGAGGUUAAUUCACUUAGAUGUUAGUGGCACUUGUCCACAAACAUAAUACUACUCAUGUUGGAUAACAUUCACCGAAGAUCACUCUCGGUUGGACUAUAGUUUAUUUUGAAUAAACACAAGCCUGAAUACUUUGCAAAAUGUUUCAAAGAAUUCAAGAAAUGUAAGUUGAUGAGUAAGACAUCUAAAGUAUUUACAUCCUUAGAUUUGAUCCAAGGAAUGGUAACACUUUAGAAUAGUUUUUCUUUGAAAGAUAUCAAGGAAAAUAGCAUCAUAAGAUAAUGAAUUUCUCCUUUAGGAGAAGAACGAACUCGAAUAAGAUUUAGUUCGUUAGAUGUUAUCUAUUACCCAUAUAUAGGAUAUAUACUUCUAAAACAAUAUGAUUGUAAAUUAGAAGAUCUUCCAAUAUUUUCAUGACUCCAUAAGAUGUAGUUGGAAAGAAAGACAAAUCUUAAGCAUUAUUAAGAUU
This 1924-nucleotide long non-coding RNA is filed under the name Malus domestica (apple). Its description in RNAcentral is "long non-coding RNA (MDOM_LNC005934)". Lineage: Eukaryota; Viridiplantae; Streptophyta; Magnoliopsida; Rosales; Rosaceae. The record is from RNAcentral.